Long non-coding RNA from Mauremys reevesii (Reeves's turtle), 770 nucleotides. RefSeq lists it as uncharacterized. The transcript is spliced from 3 exons. The record is from RefSeq and is a predicted model, not a curated record. NCBI's taxonomy places the organism in Eukaryota, Metazoa, Chordata, Testudines, Geoemydidae.
GCUUGAGGGUUUUGUACAGAUACUGUCCCUGCAAUAAGUGAGGCGAGGUCAGGGUCACGUUCACAUAUUAUCACUUUGCAGACGAUCCCAUUGCUCAAUAGUCUGUCAGUCUGAGCUUCCUGAAGGCCCCCUAAGCUAUGUAUGCUCAAAUGUUUUCAGAGACAGUGUAAACCUCAGGGCCCUAACGCCUUCAGUGCUGCAGUGAAUUACAGCAGAAUUCCUUGGAAGCAACUAUGUUUCCAUCCAAAAGAUAUAGCUAAAACACAGGGUAGCCUCUCUUACGCGUAUUCCCCACGUUUACUCAGCUGAUCUCAAAUUCCUCCAAAUAUUCAACUGAAUCAGUAUUUCUUCACUUUCUCUCAUGAGAUCUGUCCAGUUACUGGUGCACAAUGGCUAUGAGGAUUCAACCCCAGACGUAGCUGCAUCCCAGCGGUGAGGGAAACUAUCCUUAUUCAUAUACGACGUCAGCAGAGUGCUGACGGAUGUUGCUUACUGUUGGAGCAGCACCACCUCGUGGCUUUUGUGAAAUGGUGCACGGGAUCUGGAUGCUACGGAUCAGGGCCUUGUUGAGCUAUGCAUUCCAUACACAGAUGAAUUGCGGGUAGAGGUUUUGGCUCCAGUGCCCAGGCUCAAUUCCUGUCCUAGACCACUGUGCAGUGUCACUCUGAGCUGUUAAACUGUUGCCACGUUCCAUCCCAGAGCAGGCUGCAUUUCAGCACAGGAAGAAGUGAUUUGUAUGUGUAUGCUAGGAUGAGAUCUGAACUCACUGG